Molecule: transfer RNA, 74 nt
Filed under: Gammaproteobacteria bacterium
Lineage: Bacteria; Pseudomonadati; Pseudomonadota; Gammaproteobacteria
Description: tRNA-Arg
Rfam family: tRNA
About the family: Transfer RNA (tRNA) molecules are approximately 80 nucleotides in length.
Source: RNAcentral
GCGUCUGUAGCUCAGUUGGAUAGAGCGUUGGCUUCCGAAGCCAAAGGUCAGAAGUUCAAGUCUUCUCAGGCGCU